This 153-nucleotide ribosomal RNA is filed under the name Bradyrhizobium sp. Is-D141. RNAcentral's name for it is "partial 16S ribosomal RNA". It matches the Rfam family "Bacterial small subunit ribosomal RNA", at positions 118 to 287 of the family's 1533-position model. Lineage: Bacteria; Pseudomonadati; Pseudomonadota; Alphaproteobacteria; Hyphomicrobiales; Nitrobacteraceae. The record is from RNAcentral.
UGGGAACGUACCUUUUGGUUCGGAACAACACAGGGGAAACUUGUGCUAAUACCGGAUAAGCCCUUACGGGGAAAGAUUUAUCGCCGAAAGAUCGGCCCGCGUCUGAUUAGCUAGUUGGUGAGGUAAUGGCUCACCAAGGCGACGAUCAGUAGC